Ostrea edulis (European flat oyster) is the source of this 1330-nucleotide long non-coding RNA. RefSeq lists it as uncharacterized. The record is from RefSeq and is a predicted model, not a curated record. Lineage: Eukaryota; Metazoa; Mollusca; Bivalvia; Ostreida; Ostreidae. The transcript is spliced from 5 exons.
UUCUAUUAAGGUGGAAUGUCAGUCGUCUUCUAUUAAGGUGGAAUGUCAGUGGUGCACUCUUCUGGGAUUAUCUCCUUCCUCCAACUCUCAACAUCCGAAUUUUCAGAACAAAGUUGUAACUGAAGAUGGAGAAUAUACCAGUAGCAUCACUACUUAAGACAGGUUGUAACUGAAGAUGGAGAAUAUAUACCAGUAACAUCACUACUUAAGACAGUGCAUGGCGUCCAGGCGUGUGUCCUCUAUCUAAGAAUCUGAAUCUGAAUCUACAGAUUGGGGUGUUAUUCUCGGGAUUAUUAUAUAAGUGAAUAUAUAGAGUGGAUUUAUUAAUACACACAGCAUUCGAAACAUGGUGAAGGAAAUUUAAAGCAGAUGGCCAUGCAAAUUGACACUCUAAUAAAGAAAUGAUUGUGCAGUUAUUAAUACGACGCUUGAAAAAUCUGUGAGUUUUCAAAUCAAGAACUGUCCAAGGUUUAACAGAAGCCAGAAAAUUGUCGAAAUACCUUUGUUAGUCUUGAAUGAAAGCAAGGGAGUUCAGUUUCUUUUAAGACCAGGGUCGAGAAAAGCUCUAAGUGAUACGGGCGGAACAAAAAUGCUUUUGUGUUAUUUGUUGGAUAUAUUGUGUCGUUUUGGCAGCUUUUAAUACAUGAAAGGAUGCCCGAAUAUGUCUCUGGUGAAGUUUAUCUAAAUCGCUGAUAAUAACUUUUAUGUUGCAUUAGAAGCUGUAAUAAUGGUGUUUUAUGGCGUUUAUAAAGCAGUUAUUGGUAAGCGCAGAUACGAUUCUAAGACGGGAAAAGACCUUGUAUUCAUGGAUUUGUCGCCUAUUGAACGGAUUUCAAUGGAAACUGGCAUAUCAGUGAUUGGAGAAAAACCGAUUUAUAAUCCAAAACAAGUGCGAGUGCAGCUAAUGCUUUUCGCGGGGACAGACGCAAUAGUUCUCCGUCCUGUGGUGUUAAUCUGGGAAUGACCGUAUUCUGAAGUCGGAGUUUGUGGAUUAAGUUCAUAUGUAGUGGUGAAAUAUUCGAUGUUUUUGUGGAGUGAUGCUAAACACAUGUCACGUGUGGAUUUUACUUAUGGAUUACGUCGGCAGACAGGACAAUCAAUGCAGUUUGGAUUUACAACAAGAUUUUUAAACCUUUAUCAAAGCUUGAACAUGUACAGCACGGUGUAUUUUGAGCAUGUACAGCACGGUGUAUUUUGAGGGCGUGUAGGGAAGACUUGAUGUGUGUACAGUUGCUGUUAUAAGAACAAGCUUUUCAGGAAGUCAUCUAAGAUUCCGGAAAUUCAGUCUAGAACUUUUGGUUUAGAAUCCGAGUGUUACUUUUAUAAUCUA